AUGACCCGCCGCUGGCAUACCAUGUCGCGGCGGCCGCCCCGGUCCUCCGCCGGAGCGUCGGGUAAUGGAUGCCCAGGAGGUUCGGCUCCUCCUCGUCUUCCUCCUCUCACUCCUCCUCCCGCUCCUCUUCCCAUUCCUCCGGCUCGCCGGCGGUGUUCAGCGUCAAGGCCGAGCCUGCAACAGAGACGCCGCUCGGCCGGCGCACCUGCAGCGCCGGCAUCGUCAUCAACGAGGGUGGUCGGCGCGCCUCCUCCUUGGCUCCUUCGCGCUACGUCAAACCGAAGACGAAGCCGGGGAUCGCUGCCGUGA
Molecule: ribosomal RNA, 309 nt
Filed under: Triticum aestivum (bread wheat)
Lineage: Eukaryota; Viridiplantae; Streptophyta; Magnoliopsida; Poales; Poaceae
Description: partial small subunit ribosomal RNA
Source: RNAcentral